This 253-nucleotide ribosomal RNA is filed under the name uncultured bacterium. RNAcentral's name for it is "partial 16S ribosomal RNA". It matches the Rfam family "Bacterial small subunit ribosomal RNA", at positions 524 to 776 of the family's 1533-position model. The record is from RNAcentral.
GACAGAGGGUGCAAACGUUGCUCGGAAUUACUGGGCGUAAAGGGCGCGUAGGCGGCCUUCUAAGUCGAACGUGAAAUCCCUGGGCUCAACCCAGGAACUGCGUCCGAUACUGAAAGGCUUGAAUCCGGGAGAGGGAUGCGGAAUUCCAGGUGUAGCGGUGAAAUGCGUAGAUAUCUGGAGGAACACCGGUGGCGAGGGCGGCGUUCUGGACUGCAACCGACACUGAUGAACGAAAGCCAGGGGAGCAAACGGG